This 465-nucleotide ribosomal RNA is filed under the name Vreelandella stevensii. Its description in RNAcentral is "partial 16S ribosomal RNA". It matches the Rfam family "Bacterial small subunit ribosomal RNA", at positions 338 to 795 of the family's 1533-position model. The record is from RNAcentral. Lineage: Bacteria; Pseudomonadati; Pseudomonadota; Gammaproteobacteria; Oceanospirillales; Halomonadaceae.
CCUACGGGCGGCAGCAGUGGGGAAUAUUGGACAAUGGGGGCAACCCUGAUCCAGCCAUGCCGCGUGUGUGAAGAAGGCCCUCGGGUUGUAAAGCACUUUCAGUGAGGAAGAACGCCUGGUGGUUAAUACCCAUCAGGAAAGACAUCACUCACAGAAGAAGCACCGGCUAACUCCGUGCCAGCAGCCGCGGUAAUACGGAGGGUGCGAGCGUUAAUCGGAAUUACUGGGCGUAAAGCGCGCGUAGGUGGCUUGAUAAGCCGGUUGUGAAAGCCCCGGGCUCAACCUGGGAACGGCAUCCGGAACUGUCAAGCUAGAGUGCAGGAGAGGAAGGUGGAAUUCCCGGUGUAGCGGUGAAAUGCGUAGAGAUCGGGAGGAAUACCAGUGGCGAAGGCGGCCUUCUGGACUGACACUGACACUGAGGUGCGAAAGCGUGGGUAGCAAACAGGAUUAGAUACCCCUGUAGUC